This 497-nucleotide ribosomal RNA is filed under the name uncultured bacterium. Its description in RNAcentral is "bacterial SSU rRNA". It matches the Rfam family "Bacterial small subunit ribosomal RNA", at positions 8 to 502 of the family's 1533-position model. The record is from RNAcentral.
AGAGUUUGAUCCUGGCUCAGGAUGAACGCUAGCGGCAGGCCUAAUACAUGCAAGUCGAACGGUAACAUGAGAGCUUGCUCUUGAUGACGAGUGGCGCACGGGUGCGUAACGCGUAUGCAACCUACCUUUUACUGGGGGAUAGCCCGGAGAAAUCCGGAUUAAUACUCCAUGGUACCAUAAAGCAGCAUUACUUAAUGGUUAAAGAUUUAUUGGUAAAAGAUGGGCAUGCGUGACAUUAGUUAGUUGGUAAGGUAACGGCUUACCAAGACGAUGAUGUCUAGGGGUUCUGAGAGGAAGGUCCCCCACACUGGUACUGAGACACGGACCAGACUCCUACGGGAGGCAGCAGUAGGGAAUAUUGGUCAAUGGACGCAAGUCUGAACCAGCCAUGCCGCGUGCAGGAUGACAGCUUUCUGAGUUGUAAACUGCUUUUAUAUAGGAACAAAGAGGCCAUGCGUGGCAAGUUGCGUGUACUAUAUGAAUAAGCACCGCUAACU